RNAcentral lists this long non-coding RNA (466 nucleotides) under Fukomys damarensis (Damara mole-rat). RNAcentral's name for it is "lncRNA (ENSFDAG00000026959.1)". Lineage: Eukaryota; Metazoa; Chordata; Mammalia; Rodentia; Bathyergidae. The record is from RNAcentral.
CAAAGACGUCAUGACAGCACAAUCCCACUUUUUGGAGUGGACCAUAGUCACCGUUUCUUGUUUUUGUUUUCCAAGCCUGCGUGCAUGUGCGUGUGUGUGUGUUACUGGAGACAGAGCCCAGGUCCUCCCACCUGCUAAGACUUUCCCACUGGAGGAGGCCGCCCUGGAGCGAAACCAUUUCCUCCCUGCAGUGACCCCGGCCGAAGCGUCAGUGUGGAGCUGUCCCCCUGGUUAAGAUAAUGGGGCGGAAGGAGAAACACGCCCGCAAGAUUAAGGAGCCCAGCCUGGCGUGGCACCCGGAAAACCUGCUGCAAUAUUUGUGGUGUGCAAACAUUCAUCAGGGCUCUUUGUAUACGGGCUUCUGAGCUGGAGGCCAACUUCCAAAGGCCUUCACCCAUUUCAGAACGGGACCAGGAGCUCACAGCUGUGUUUGGAGAUCUAACACACACUUUCAUUCGGAGAACAG